UAUUGAACCAGGUUUAAAAACACUGAAUAAUUUUGGACAACACGUUGCUUGCCCAUAUUUGUGGGAGGUCCUUCUUUCUUGGCCGUGCUCGCCAAUCGCGCCGUUUUGGUCAUAGCUCCCGUUGUCGAUGCUAGCAGUGCUGAUUUGUUAACACUUGGAUUGGCUGUGAACUAGUAUAUUAACCGGUCUGGUAUGGCUGGCAAUUCGCCCUAAAUCUAUCUCUGUGGUAAGGGCUACGUACUUGCUUUCCAUGGUUAAUUGGAUUGCAGAUUGGAGAGUGUGAUUUUUAUUUUCAUUUUUUUAGGUAAAUCCUCAAGGCGUGGAAUGCCAGUUUAUAUGUUCCCACCUUCCUGAUUUUGUAGUUUCCGAGCUAUUAUGUUACUGCCCUUUCUGCUUACGUUACUACUACUGUAGUUGAAAAGAUUUUGAGGUGGAAUGUUAGGUGCUUCCUUGUCAGUUGUUUGUUAAUCAUCAACAUUUUGAGGAGGAAUUGGGAAAUAGGCAAUGUGUUUUUGGCUAUUUAUCAUUGUUUUUGUUGCUCAACUUUAGGGCAUGGGAAUCUCUGUCAGGUGUUACAUGCUGCAGGUCUCUAGUUGUUAUUUAUGAUUACUGUUGUAUCCUACAAAUUGGCUUGGCAGCUUAAUCUGUCGAUAAUGAAGCACUGGCUGUCGAUGCUGCCAAGUUGAUGCAAGGAUCACUUUACCGUGCUGCUAUAAAAUCUGCAUCUCAGAGCUAUUUGGCCAACCUUUUCUCUCUACACUGGGAUAUCUGAGUUGCCAUUUCUACCUUUGAACACACAGGCAAUGAAGAGAUGAAGGAAUUGCAAUAAUUGGUGGUGACACAAUUAAGGGGUUCACAUCUUCCGACCAGGCAUGGAUUGCUCUUAUUGGAGAAAAACUGGAUGCUACUCUAGCAAAACAUUUUGUAAAUAAAUGAUAGGCAGUGCAAGAUAGAGUCUGAUAAUAACUAUGUGGACGUCUGGAUUCUCAUGUGCAUAGCAUUUGUUGCGUCCAUUAUUCAAGGAGGAGGCAAAUUGUUAUCGAACCAAAUCAUAGUGUGGCAAAACGAAGAUGGAGUGAGAACAAGGAGGCAGCAUAGCAUUUUGAACCCAAUUCAUGCCAUAGGUGAACACAGCUUCCAGGGAUGCUACUCACCUUGACUUCUGAGUUGGUGAUAGAACAAGCAGGAAGCACCAAAAUUUGUCAAAUUAUCAUGUUAUUAUAUUAUAGUUAUAGAAAACACUAAAAGGUGCGGUAUGUUCACCGUAGCUGAAUACUGUUCAACCACUCAGAUUAUUGUGGAUACACCGUUUAUUUUUUUUCAUUUUAGUCCUCAAACUUUUAUUUUGAACGAUUUUAUCCUAAUUGAAGGCCAAUUGCUUUU
Long non-coding RNA from Populus trichocarpa (black cottonwood), 1383 nucleotides. RefSeq lists it as uncharacterized. Lineage: Eukaryota; Viridiplantae; Streptophyta; Magnoliopsida; Malpighiales; Salicaceae. The record is from RefSeq and is a predicted model, not a curated record. The transcript has 6 exons.